This 590-nucleotide ribosomal RNA is filed under the name Salmonella enterica. RNAcentral's name for it is "partial 23S ribosomal RNA". It matches the Rfam family "Bacterial large subunit ribosomal RNA", at positions 628 to 1219 of the family's 2925-position model. Lineage: Bacteria; Pseudomonadati; Pseudomonadota; Gammaproteobacteria; Enterobacterales; Enterobacteriaceae. The record is from RNAcentral.
UUAUAUUCUGUAGCAAGGUUAACCGAAUAGGGGAGCCGGAGGGAAACCGAGUCUUAACCGGGCGUUAAGUUGCAGGGUAUAGACCCGAAACCCGGUGAUCUAGCCAUGGGCAGGUUGAAGGUUGGGUAACACUAACUGGAGGACCGAACCGACUAAUGUUGAAAAAUUAGCGGAUGACCUGUGGCUGGGGGUGAAAGGCCAAUCAAACCGGGAGAUAGCUGGUUCUCCCCGAAAGCUAUUUAGGUAGCGCCUCGUGAAUUCAUCUCCGGGGGUAGAGCACUGUUUCGGCUAGGGGGCCAUCCCGGCUUACCAACCCGAUGCAAACUGCGAAUACCGGAGAAUGUUAUCACGGGAGACACACGGCGGGUGCUAACGUCCGUCGUGAAGAGGGAAACAACCCAGACCGCCAGCUAAGGUCCCAAAGUCAUGGUUAAGUGGGAAACGAUGUGGGAAGGCCCAGACAGCCAGGAUGUUGGCUUAGAAGCAGCCAUCAUUUAAAGAAAGCGUAAUAGCUCACUGGUCGAGUCGGCCUGCGCGGAAGAUGUAACGGGGCUAAACCAUGCACCGAAGCUGCGGCAGCGACACUGUGU